This 253-nucleotide ribosomal RNA is filed under the name uncultured bacterium. RNAcentral describes it as "partial 16S ribosomal RNA". It matches the Rfam family "Bacterial small subunit ribosomal RNA", at positions 524 to 776 of the family's 1533-position model. The record is from RNAcentral.
UACGGAAGGGGCAAGCGUUGUUCGGAAUUACUGGGCGUAAAGGGUCUGUAGGUGGCCAACUAAGUCAAACGUGAAAUCCCUCAGCUUAACUGGGGAACUGCGUCUGAUACUGGAUGGCUCGAGUGUGGGAGAGGAAUGCGGAAUUCCAGGUGUAGCGGUGAAAUGCGUAGAUAUCUGGAGGAACACCGAUGGCGAAGGCAGCCCCCUGGGCCAGUACUGACGCUCAUGCACGAAAGCGUGGGGAGCAAACAGG